GGAAUCGAGUGGCAAACGGGUGAGUAACGCGUGGGUAACCUGCCUUAUACAGGGGGAUAACAGUUGGAAACGACUGGCUAAUACCGCAUAAGCGCACGGUAUCGCAUGAUACAGUGUGAAAAAACUCCGGUGGUAUAAGAUGGACCCGCGUCUGAUUAGCUUGUUGGUGAGGUUAAACGGGCCCCACCAAGGCGACGAUCGGUAGCCGGACUGAGAGGGUUUGAACGGCCACAUUGGGACUGAGACACGGCCCAGACUCCUACGGGAGGCAGCAGUGGGGAAUAUUGCACAAUGGGGGAAACCCUGAUGCAGCGACGCCGCGUGGAGGAAGAAGGUCUUCGGAUUGUAAACUCCUGUUGUUGAGGAAGAUAAUGACGGUACUCAACAAGGAAGUGACGGCUAACUACGUG
RNAcentral lists this ribosomal RNA (410 nucleotides) under uncultured bacterium. RNAcentral's name for it is "bacterial SSU rRNA". It matches the Rfam family "Bacterial small subunit ribosomal RNA", at positions 87 to 507 of the family's 1533-position model. The record is from RNAcentral.